This 474-nucleotide ribosomal RNA is filed under the name uncultured Sphingobacteriales bacterium. Its description in RNAcentral is "bacterial SSU rRNA". It matches the Rfam family "Bacterial small subunit ribosomal RNA", at positions 918 to 1380 of the family's 1533-position model. Lineage: Bacteria; Pseudomonadati; Bacteroidota; Sphingobacteriia; Sphingobacteriales. The record is from RNAcentral.
UAAGAUGACGGGCCGCACAAGCGGAGGAACAUGUGGUUUAAUUCGAUGAUACGCGAGGAACCUUUACCUGGGCUUAAAUGUAGAGUGCAUUUUCUAGAGAUAGGAAUUCCCUUCGGGGCUUUCUGCAAGGUGCUGCAUGGUUGUCGUCAGCUCGUGCCGUGAGGUGUCGGGUUAAGUCCCAUAACGAGCGCAACCCUUAUCGUUAGUUGCCAUCUGGUAAAGCAGGGGACUCUAGCGAAACUGCCACCGUAAGGUGAGAGGAAGGUGGGGAUGACGUCAAAUCAGCACGGCCCUUAUGUCCAGGGCUACACACGUGUUACAAUGGCCGGUACAGAGGGCAGCUACCUGGUGACAGGAUGCUAAUCUCGAAAACCGGUCUCAGUUCGGAUCGAAGUCUGCAACUCGACUUCGUGAAGCUGGAUUCGCUAGUAAUCGCGCAUCAGCCAUGGCGCGGUGAAUACGUUCCCGGGCCUU